AAUUAAUUAGCUUAGUGAUUAAGCACUUACCUUGAAAGCAAGCUACAAGAGUUUAAUUCUCUUAUUAAUUU
Molecule: transfer RNA, 71 nt
Filed under: Cryptopygus antarcticus
Lineage: Eukaryota; Metazoa; Arthropoda; Collembola; Entomobryomorpha; Isotomidae
Description: tRNA-Ser
Rfam family: tRNA
About the family: Transfer RNA (tRNA) molecules are approximately 80 nucleotides in length. Their secondary structure includes four short double-helical elements and three loops (D, anti-codon, and T loops). Further hydrogen bonds mediate the characteristic L-shaped molecular structure. tRNAs have two regions of fundamental functional importance: the anti-codon, which is responsible for specific mRNA codon recognition, and the 3' end, to which the tRNAs corresponding amino acid is attached (by aminoacyl-tRNA synthetases). tRNAs cope with the degeneracy of the genetic code in two manners: having more than one tRNA (with a specific anti-codon) for a particular amino acid; and 'wobble' base-pairing, i.e. permitting non-standard base-pairing at the 3rd anti-codon position.
Source: RNAcentral